GAGGGUAUAGCUCAGUGGUGGAGUGUGUGCCUAGCAUGCACUUGGUCCUGGGUUCACUCCCUGGUACCUCCA
This 72-nucleotide transfer RNA is filed under the name Camelus bactrianus (Bactrian camel). It matches the Rfam family "tRNA". From Rfam's summary of the family: Transfer RNA (tRNA) molecules are approximately 80 nucleotides in length. Their secondary structure includes four short double-helical elements and three loops (D, anti-codon, and T loops). Further hydrogen bonds mediate the characteristic L-shaped molecular structure. tRNAs have two regions of fundamental functional importance: the anti-codon, which is responsible for specific mRNA codon recognition, and the 3' end, to which the tRNAs corresponding amino acid is attached (by aminoacyl-tRNA synthetases). tRNAs cope with the degeneracy of the genetic code in two manners: having more than one tRNA (with a specific anti-codon) for a particular amino acid; and 'wobble' base-pairing, i.e. permitting non-standard base-pairing at the 3rd anti-codon position. Lineage: Eukaryota; Metazoa; Chordata; Mammalia; Artiodactyla; Camelidae. RNAcentral also lists the same sequence under 1 other name. The record is from Rfam by way of RNAcentral.